UGUGAAACUGCGAAUGGCU
Molecule: unclassified non-coding RNA, 19 nt
Filed under: Chlamydomonas reinhardtii
Lineage: Eukaryota; Viridiplantae; Chlorophyta; Chlorophyceae; Chlamydomonadales; Chlamydomonadaceae
Description: small RNA Cre_3550
Source: RNAcentral